This is a long non-coding RNA of Lutra lutra (Eurasian river otter), 1415 nucleotides long. RefSeq lists it as uncharacterized. The transcript has 3 exons. The record is from RefSeq and is a predicted model, not a curated record. NCBI's taxonomy places the organism in Eukaryota, Metazoa, Chordata, Mammalia, Carnivora, Mustelidae.
UCCGCGUUGAGGUCCUCACUGUGGACCAAAGUCCUGUGGACCACAGUCCUCACUGUGGACCAAAGAGACGGCUGGGGCAGGAGUCACUGUCCCCACUGCAAAGAGGCAGAGCCCAGACCCCUGACUCAAGCUCAGCCAGGGCCACAGUCCGCAGGAGGAAUGGAGCCUCAUCUGGAUGGCGGGAGCAUCUCGUGACAUCCCCACCCUUCAGAUGCUCUUUCCUCCCCGAAACUGCCAAAGGGCUGAGCAAUGACUUGGCGCUGAGCUGGGUGUGUAUAGCCACCGAGCAGGGCUCCCCGCCCCAAGGAGUGGUGGGAGGGGCCCCAUCCUCCAACGAUCAGCUGUCAGCUUUGUCAUCCUCUGUUCUCUCCACUGCUGCUGUCAUCAGGCCUUGGGUGACAGGCUAGGAGGCAGGUGGGGCCAGACUGGCGGUGGAGGGAGCUGAGAGUCAGGCAGAGGCGUUUGGCCUUGGUUGCUAUAGGGAUAAUCAUUAUAAUGACAUCCUUGACGUAUGUCAUGCCUUACAGUUUCACUGAACAUUUCCGAGAAUAACAGCGCCCAUUAAUGGCUAGCUCACUGUGUGCCAGCUCUGUCCCCCAGCAGGUGGGAAUUGUUAGCCCCAUUUUACAGAUGAGGAACCCUGGGCAGGGGGCAGAGAGGUUAAAUUCUUGCCUAAGACCCGCAGCUAGGAAGAGGCAGAACUUGAGUUUGAACCCAGGUCUGGCCACACAGCAGGGCUCUCUCCUGACAUCACACCUCGUAUGUAUUAUUUCCUUCAGCCGCGAGACUCUGUUGUGAGCCCAGCAAGUGAUCUGCUUCCUUCGUUCUACUGGGAGCUGAGGCUCAGGACAGUAGGUCCGAUUGACUGCCUGGCUGGACAAAGAGGGCAAAGGAAGGGAAAUGGAGCAGGGACUAGAGGAAGGAAGGUUGGUUGACUCAAAAGAAUAGACAAACCAAAGAAACGAAAAAGGGAUAAACGACCGCCCAGGUCCCAGGAGGUCUGUCUUUGGCCAGAACCCUUCCACCCAAAGCCCGGACCUCUUGUUUACAGAGCAUCUCCUGAGUCCUGGACACUUGGCAUGUAUCGCUUUAUUCCCUCCUGUUACGUAUAAUUCUUAUCCUCCUUUGACAAGUAAUGAAACUGAGGCCCAGAGAGGACAGAUGAUUUGCCCAAGAUCCCACAGCUGGCAGGGAAACUGAAGCUCUCAAGAGGAAGGGACCUGUCGCAUAGUGAGAAAGCUGCAGGCCCAGUCUGCGGCAGAUGGAGCCCAGAAGAACCUUUUCUCCCAUUUCCGUCUGUCUGGGCUCCGUCAGAUCCAUUCCACUCCAGCCACCAUUUAACUGGAUGGAGCUCAGGGCUGGGAAUGCAGGCCUCCUGUCCUCGCCUCCUCUCUCCGACCUGUCAUUAUGGAUCC